This 253-nucleotide ribosomal RNA is filed under the name uncultured bacterium. RNAcentral's name for it is "partial 16S ribosomal RNA". It matches the Rfam family "Bacterial small subunit ribosomal RNA", at positions 524 to 776 of the family's 1533-position model. The record is from RNAcentral.
UACGGAGGGUGCAAGCGUUGCUCGGAAUCAUUGGGCGUAAAGAGCAUGUAGGCGGCUUGGUAAGCCAGAUGUGAAAGCCCAGGGCUUAACCCUGGAAGUGCAUUUGGAACUGUCAAGCUAGAGUCUCGGAGAGGAAACUGGAAUUCCGGGUGUAGAGGUGAAAUUCGUAGAUAUCCGGAGGAACACCGGUGGCGAAGGCGAGUUUCUGGACGAAGACUGACGCUAAAGUGCGAAAGCGUGGGUAGCAAACAGG